GACGAACCGUCCAAACGUUAUUCGGAAUCACUGGGCUUAAAGGGUGCGUAGGCGGCGCGGAAAGUUGGGUGUGAAAUCCCCCGGCUCAACCGGGGAAUUGCGCCCAAAACUACCGUGCUUGAGGAAGACAGAGGUGAGCGGAACUUCGGGUGGAGCGGUGAAAUGCGUUGAUAUCCGAAGGAACACCGGUGGCGAAAGCGGCUCACUGGGUCUUUUCUGACGCUGAUGCGCGAAAGCUAGGGGAGCAAACGGG
This 253-nucleotide ribosomal RNA is filed under the name uncultured bacterium. RNAcentral's name for it is "partial 16S ribosomal RNA". It matches the Rfam family "Bacterial small subunit ribosomal RNA", at positions 524 to 776 of the family's 1533-position model. The record is from RNAcentral.